This is a long non-coding RNA of Vitis vinifera (wine grape), 615 nucleotides long. RefSeq lists it as uncharacterized. The transcript is spliced from 2 exons. Lineage: Eukaryota; Viridiplantae; Streptophyta; Magnoliopsida; Vitales; Vitaceae. The record is from RefSeq and is a predicted model, not a curated record.
CGUUCUUUUAUAUUACUUUGGCUUCCUUUUUUUAAGGUUUGCACGAUGGAAUGCCUUUCUCUUUGUGUAAAAGCUAUGAAUGGAGGAAUGCUACUGGACAUGAGAAAGCCUAUGUUUCCACUGUAGAUUCCUAGAUUUCCUGCGCCUCUCAUUUUUGCUUCCUUUCUAGCUAAGUUUCGUCAUUUCUCUCUCUAUAUGUAGCUUUGUUUGAUGGGUUGAAGGGCUUAAGGACUUAGUUGACUUGCUUGACUUGCUAGACUUGGUUCAAAAAUAGAGAAAGAUGGAGAGGAAGAACAGAGCAAUUCCCAAAGACUCUGGGUUGACUCAGCGGCUGUUUUCUUGGUCCCUUGAAGACAUUUACAAUGAAGAUCUUUACAAGACCCAGUUGGUGCUUUGCUUGAUUAUGGUUCUUCAGCUAUCCCCACUUUGCCUGAGCUUGGGUCUUUCAUAUACAGGGCCAAGCCAGUUCAUUUGUUCCUCGGUUGAGGCUUUUCUUAGAUUCUGUAGUAUAUGCAUGGUUCAGUCAUCUCUGUUUAGCUUUACUUGUUGAAAAUGGUGUUGGAUUGUGUAAACGAAUUUUGAUCGCAUAAGAAGAUUUUUUUUUUUUUAAUUUUA